GCCGGCGACCGGCGCAAGGGUGCGUAACGCGUGAGCGACAUGCCCGUAACCGGGGGAUAACCGAUGGAAACGUCGCCUAACCCCCCAUAACACAUGAAGCUGCAUGGCAUCAUGUUGAAAACCGUGGUGGUUACGGAUUGGCUCGCGUGACAUUAGGUAGACGGCGGGGUAACGGCCCACCGUGCCGACGAUGUCUAGGGGUUCUGAGAGGAAGGUCCCCCACAAUGGAACUGAGACACGGUCCAUACUCCUACGGGAGGCAGCAGUGAGGAAUAUUGGUCAAUGGGCGGAAGCCUGAACCAUCCAUGCCGCGUGCGGGAAGACGGCCCUAUGGGUUGUAAACCGCUUUUGAGAGGGAGCAAUAAGGGCCUCGUGCAGGUCUGAUGACAGUACCUUUCCAAUAAGCAUCGGGUAACUC
RNAcentral lists this ribosomal RNA (418 nucleotides) under uncultured rumen bacterium. RNAcentral describes it as "bacterial SSU rRNA". It matches the Rfam family "Bacterial small subunit ribosomal RNA", at positions 87 to 503 of the family's 1533-position model. The record is from RNAcentral.